AUUGAACGCUGGCGGCAGGCCUAACACAUGCAAGUCGAGCGGAUGACGGGAGCUUGCUCCUUGAUUCAGCGGCGGACGGGUGAGUAAUGCCUAGGAAUCUGCCUGGUAGUGGGGGACAACGUUUCGAAAGGAACGCUAAUACCGCAUACGUCCUACGGGAGAAAGCAGGGGACCUUCGGGCCUUGCGCUAUCAGAUGAGCCUAGGUCGUAUUAGCUUGUUGGUGAGGUAAUGGCUCACCAAGGCGACGAUCCGUAACUGGUCUGAGAGGAUGAUCAGUCACACUGGAACUGAGACACGGUCCAGACUCCUACGGGAGGCAGCAGUGGGGAAUAUUGGACAAUGGGCGAAAGCCUGAUCCAGCCAUGCCGCGUGUGUGAAGAAGGUCUUCGGAUUGUAAAGCACUUUAAGUUGGGAGGAAGGGCAGUAAGUUAAUACCUUGCUGUUUUGACGUUACCGACAGAAUAAGCACCGGCUAACUCUGUG
Molecule: ribosomal RNA, 484 nt
Filed under: uncultured bacterium
Lineage: Bacteria
Description: partial 16S ribosomal RNA
Rfam family: Bacterial small subunit ribosomal RNA
Source: RNAcentral